This is a long non-coding RNA of Myripristis murdjan (pinecone soldierfish), 126 nucleotides long. RefSeq lists it as uncharacterized. The record is from RefSeq and is a predicted model, not a curated record. The transcript has 3 exons. NCBI's taxonomy places the organism in Eukaryota, Metazoa, Chordata, Actinopteri, Holocentriformes, Holocentridae.
GGUGGUCAGUGGGAAUGGGAAUAUGAACUUAAACUGAACUGACUGACACACCUGCUAAGAAAAGGGCAGGACAAAGGCCUGGAGGGGACAGAUGAUUGGCCAAGACACAACAAAGACAUGCAACAC